CCCAGACAGCCAGGAUGUUGGCUUAGAAGCAGCCAUCAUUUAAAGAAAGCGUAAUAGCUCACUGGUCGAGUCGGCCUGCGCGGAAGAUGUAACGGGGCUAAACCAUGCACCGAAGCUGCGGCAGCGACGCUGAUGCGUUGUUGGGUAGGGGAGCGUUCUGUAAGCCUGUGAAGGUGGCCUGUGAGGGUUGCUGGAGGUAUCAGAAGUGCGAAUGCUGACAUAAGUAACGAUAAAGCGGGUGAAAAGCCCGCUCGCCGGAAGACCAAGGGUUCCUGUCCAACGUUAAUCGGGGCAGGGUGAGUCGACCCCUAAGGCGAGGCCGAAAGGCGUAGUCGAUGGGAAACGGGUUAAUAUUCCCGUACUUGGUGUUACUGCGAAGGGGGGACGGAGAAGGCUAUGUUGGCCGGGCGACGGUUGUCCCGGUUUAAGCGUGUAGGUGUGUGUUCCAGGUAAAUCCGGUUCACUUUAACACUGAGGCGUGACGACGAGGCACUACGGUGCUGAAGCAACAAAUGCCCUGCUUCCAGGAAAAGCCUCUAAGCAUCAGGUAACAUCAAAUCGUACCCCAAACCGACACAGGUGGUCAGGUAGAGAAUACCAAGGCGCUUGAGAGAACUCGGGUGAAGGAACUAGGCAAAAUGGUGCCGUAACUUCGGGAGAAGGCACGCUGACACGUAGGUGAAGUGAUUUACUCA
Molecule: ribosomal RNA, 695 nt
Filed under: Salmonella enterica subsp. enterica serovar Goldcoast
Lineage: Bacteria; Pseudomonadati; Pseudomonadota; Gammaproteobacteria; Enterobacterales; Enterobacteriaceae
Description: partial 23S ribosomal RNA
Rfam family: Bacterial large subunit ribosomal RNA
Source: RNAcentral